This 468-nucleotide ribosomal RNA is filed under the name uncultured bacterium. RNAcentral's name for it is "partial 16S ribosomal RNA". It matches the Rfam family "Bacterial small subunit ribosomal RNA", at positions 28 to 507 of the family's 1533-position model. The record is from RNAcentral.
GACGAACGCUGGCGGCGUGCUUAACACAUGCAAGUCGAACGGAAAGGCCCUGCUUUUGUGGGGUGCUCGAGUGGCGAACGGGUGAGUAACACGUGAGUAACCUGCCCUUGACUUUGGGAUAACUUCAGGAAACUGGGGCUAAUACCGGAUAGGAGCUCCUGCUGCAUGGUGGGGGUUGGAAAGUUUCGGCGGUUGGGGAUGGACUCGCGGCUUAUCAGCUUGUUGGUGGGGUAGUGGCUUACCAAGGCUUUGACGGGUAGCCGGCCUGAGAGGGUGACCGGCCACAUGGGGACGGGGAUCCGGCCCAGACGCCUACGGGAGGCAGCAGUGGGGAGUAUUGCACAAUGGGCGGAAGCCGGAUGCAGCAACGCCGCGUGCGGGAUGAGGGCCUUCGGGUUGUAAACCGCUUUCGCCUGUGACGAAGCGUGAGUGACGGUAAGGGGUAAAGAAGAACCGGCUAACUACGUG